AACGAACGCUGGCGGCAGGCCUCAAACAUGCAAGUCUAGGGGGGUGUAGCAAUACAUCACCGGCGGACGGGUGCGUAACGCGUGGGAAUAUACCUAUCGAUUCGGAACAACUGAGGGAAACUUCAGCUAAUACCGAAUACGUCCUAACGGAGAAAGAUUUAUCGUCGAUAGAUUAGCCCGCGUUCGAUUAGCUAGUUGGUGGGGUAACGGCCCACCAAGGCAACGAUCGAUAGCUGUUCUGAGAGGAAGAUCAGCCACACUGGGACUGAGACACGGCCCAGACUCCUACGGAGGCAGCAGUAGGGAAUAUUGGUCAAUGGGGGCAACCCUGAACCAGCCAUGCCGCGUGCAGGAAUAAGGACCCUAUGGGUCGUAAACUGACUUUUGAACGGGAAGAAAUCUAUUUACGUGUUAAAUAGUUAGUACGGUACCGUU
RNAcentral lists this ribosomal RNA (435 nucleotides) under uncultured bacterium. Its description in RNAcentral is "bacterial SSU rRNA". It matches the Rfam family "Bacterial small subunit ribosomal RNA", at positions 29 to 482 of the family's 1533-position model. The record is from RNAcentral.